This 500-nucleotide ribosomal RNA is filed under the name Epinephelus fuscoguttatus (brown-marbled grouper). RNAcentral describes it as "partial 16S ribosomal RNA". It matches the Rfam family "Bacterial large subunit ribosomal RNA", at positions 1805 to 2510 of the family's 2925-position model. The record is from RNAcentral. Lineage: Eukaryota; Metazoa; Chordata; Actinopteri; Perciformes; Serranidae.
UUUCAAAAACAUCGCCUCUUGCUAAACCGAAAGUAUAAGAGGUCCCGCCUGCCCUGUGACUAUAUGUUUAACGGCCGCGGUAUUUUGACCGUGCGAAGGUAGCGCAAUCACUUGUCUUUUAAAUGGGGACCUGUAUGAAUGGCAUAACGAGGGCUUAACUGUCUCCUCUUUCAAGUCAAUGAAAUUGAUCUCCCCGUGCAGAAGCGGGGAUAGAUACAUAAGACGAGAAGACCCUAUGGAGCUUUAGACACUAAAGCAGAUCAGUAUUAAUACCCUGAACAUAGGCUACGAAUAAACUGACCCCUGCCCUAAUGUCUUUGGUUGGGGCGACCGCGGAGAAAAAUAAAACCCCCGCAAGGACUAAAUGUACUACAUUCACAAACAAGAGCGACAGCUCUAACUAACAGAACUUCUGACCAAUAAGAUCCGGCAAUGCCGAUCAAUGAACCGAGUUACCCUAGGGAUAACAGCGCAAUCUCCUCUUAGAGCCCAUAUCGACG